GAUGAAGAACGCAGCGAAAUGCGAUAAGUAAUGUGAAUUGCAGAAUUCAGUGAAUCAUCGAAUCUUUGAACGCACCUUGCGCUCUUUGGUGUUCCGAAGAGCAUGCUUGUUUGAGUGUCAUGAAAAUAUCAACCUUGACUUGGGUUUUGUGCUCUAGUCUCGGCUUGGAAUUGGGUGCUUGCCGCUUUUACGAGCGGCUCACCUUAAAUGUAUUAGCUGGAUCUGUCUUUGAGACUUGGUUUGACUUGGCGUAAUAAGUAUUUCGCUAAGGACAUUCUUCGGAGUGGCCUCGUUUCUAGGACGCUUGUCCGCUUUCCAAUACAAGUUCCACCUCGUGGACAUGACUUUUUAUUAUCUGGCCUCAAAUCAGGUAGGACUACCCGCUGAACUUAAGCAUAUCAAUAAGCGGAGGA
RNAcentral lists this unclassified non-coding RNA (413 nucleotides) under soil metagenome. Its description in RNAcentral is "partial contains 5.8S ribosomal RNA, internal transcribed spacer 2, and large subunit ribosomal RNA". The stretch from base 1 to 120 matches the Rfam family "5.8S ribosomal RNA", at positions 35 to 154 of the family's 154-position model. The record is from RNAcentral.